Molecule: long non-coding RNA, 938 nt
Organism: Acomys russatus (golden spiny mouse)
Lineage: Eukaryota; Metazoa; Chordata; Mammalia; Rodentia; Muridae
Exons: 3
Source: RefSeq, a predicted model, not a curated record
AGCGGUUGGUCAGUACUUGUCACACUGAGUGCAGAGGGCUUGUGGGAGAAGUGAGUGUCCCAUUUGAGGGCAGAAAGCUGGGCAGCUGCUGUAGCAGAGUAAGAGGGGAAGCCUGGAGGGCGAUGGCGAGAUGAGGAAGUAAGGGAAGACACCGGAUGUGAGGCAGGGAGACUUGAGGGUGACAGGUUCUGAGCAGUGCCUACAGCGAGAACUGUGGCUACCUUGUAGGUUGUAGGAGGUCAAGCCGGGAAGUGGGAGGUCAGGGAGGCAACUGGGGCAGAAGUCCAGGUGACAGGUAGUGUGGCCUAGGGUUGUAACAGCAAGGUUAAUGUUGGCCCACACAACGACUUUGUGAGAAUCGGAAGGGGCCCUUUAGCUUAGCAGCACUAAAGACAAGAACACAGCAUGACUUGUUGGUACCAGAGCGGCUGGGUUGAGAGAGGUGCAGGGCGGCUGCUUUCUGAUGAGGCUCCCUGGGAGCCCACUGAGGUUUGCGCUCGCAGCAGCGGGUGUGGCUCUCUCUACCUGAUAACUAAGCAGCAGUUACCAAGUGAUGCUGGCUUCCCGUCUGCUGGCGCCGGAAAUGUGCUGACGCAUGUGACAUAUUAGGCCCAUGUGUUUGCCGUCCUAAUAAACUCUUGUCACCAUGGCUCCCCUACUCUAUGGGUCAGUGCCAUGCACUGAGUGUGGAGAGAGAAAAACAGCCAAGUGGUAACAGCAAACCUUCAAGUAUAAUGGCUUUAAAUAUUAAGGCGGUUUAUGAACUUACGUGACUGACCCUUUUGUGGCAAUUGCCAUUGGUAUCUCAUGGACUCCCCUUGAAAAGCGAGGUUCAAAACUUAACUGGGAACAGUCUGGCCCAGUGCACAGAUCAAAAGACUACUGAAGGACUGGCCCUAUGGAUAAAGUGCCUGCUGUAGAAACAAGAGCACUCCACA